Molecule: ribosomal RNA, 254 nt
Filed under: uncultured bacterium
Lineage: Bacteria
Description: partial 16S ribosomal RNA
Rfam family: Bacterial small subunit ribosomal RNA
Source: RNAcentral
UACAGAGGGGGCAAGCGUUGUUCGGAAUUAUUGGGCGUAAAGAGCUCGUAGGCGGUGUGUCGCGUCGGCCGUGAAAACCUGCAGCUUAACUGUGGGCGUGCGGUCGAUACGGGCAUCACUGGAGUUCGGCAGGGGAGACUGGAAUUCCUGGUGUAGCGGUGAAAUGCGCAGAUAUCAGGAGGAACACCGGUGGCGAAGGCGGGUCUCUGGGCCGAUACUGACGCUGAGGAGCGAAAGCGUGGGGAGCGAACAGG